Molecule: ribosomal RNA, 467 nt
Filed under: Vibrio parahaemolyticus
Lineage: Bacteria; Pseudomonadati; Pseudomonadota; Gammaproteobacteria; Vibrionales; Vibrionaceae
Description: bacterial SSU rRNA
Rfam family: Bacterial small subunit ribosomal RNA
Source: RNAcentral
UGAAAUGUUGGGUUAAGUCCCGCAACGAGCGCAACCCUUAUCCUUUGUUGCCAGCGAUUCGGUCGGGAACUCAAAGGAGACUGCCGGUGAUAAACCGGAGGAAGGUGGGGAUGACGUCAAGUCAUCAUGGCCCUUACGAGUAGGGCUACACACGUGCUACAAUGGCGUAUACAAAGAGAAGCGACCUCGCGAGAGCAAGCGGAACUCAUAAAGUACGUCGUAGUCCGGAUUGGAGUCUGCAACUCGACUCCAUGAAGUCGGAAUCGCUAGUAAUCGUAGAUCAGAAUGCUACGGUGAAUACGUUCCCGGGCCUUGUACACACCGCCCGUCACACCAUGGGAGUGGGUUGCAAAAGAAGUAGGUAGCUUAACCUUCGGGAGGGCGCUUACCACUUUGUGAUUCAUGACUGGGGUGAAGUCGUAACAAGGUAACCGUAGGGGAACCUGCGGUUGGAUCACCUCCUUACC